GCCCUUGUGGCUCAGAGGUAGAGCACUCCCUUGGUAAGGGAGAGGUCGCGAGUUCGAGUCUCGCCAAGGGCA
This 72-nucleotide transfer RNA is filed under the name Elusimicrobiaceae bacterium. Its description in RNAcentral is "tRNA-Thr". It matches the Rfam family "tRNA". Rfam says of the family: Transfer RNA (tRNA) molecules are approximately 80 nucleotides in length. Their secondary structure includes four short double-helical elements and three loops (D, anti-codon, and T loops). Lineage: Bacteria; Pseudomonadati; Elusimicrobiota; Elusimicrobia; Elusimicrobiales; Elusimicrobiaceae. The record is from RNAcentral. RNAcentral also lists the same sequence under 2 other names.